UGGGGAAUUUUGGACAGUGGGGGCAACCCUGAUCCAGCAAUGCCGCGUGAGUGAAGAAGGCCUUCGGGUUGUAAAGCUCUUUUGUCAGGGAAGAAACGGUAGUAGCGAAUAACUACUACUAAUGACGGUACCUGAAGAAUAAGCACCGGCUAACUACGUGCCAGCAGCCGCGGUAAUACGUAGGGUGCAAGCGUUAAUCGGAAUUACUGGGCGUAAAGCGUGCGCAGGCGGUUGUGUAAGUCAGAUGUGAAAUCCCCGGGCUCAACCUGGGAAUUGCAUUUGAGACUGCACGGCUAGAGUGUGUCAGAGGGGGGUAGAAUUCCACGUGUAGCAGUGAAAUGCGUAGAUAUGUGGAGGAAUACCGAUGGCGAAGGCAGCCCCCUGGGAUAACACUGACGCUCAUGCACGAAAGCGUGGGGAGCAAACAGGAUUAGAUACCCUCGUAGUCCCUGAGCGGGCUGGCAAGGCGCAU
RNAcentral lists this ribosomal RNA (472 nucleotides) under uncultured bacterium. RNAcentral's name for it is "bacterial SSU rRNA". It matches the Rfam family "Bacterial small subunit ribosomal RNA", at positions 355 to 825 of the family's 1533-position model. The record is from RNAcentral.